This 5523-nucleotide long non-coding RNA is filed under the name Gallus gallus (chicken). Lineage: Eukaryota; Metazoa; Chordata; Aves; Galliformes; Phasianidae. The record is from RNAcentral.
CCUCACUAUAUUUCUUCUGUAAAGCCAACUCUGCCUCAAGCUGUGCAAUACGUCCUUGGGACAGCUGCCUUCCAAGCUCUUGAUUCUCCUGGAUAAGCAUUCGACACUUCGCCAUUAACUUUUUGCCUGUUUGGCUAUCAGGCGUAAAUUUCCAGGCACUCAGUUCAUUUUGGGCUUGUUCCAGUUUGUCUUUAGUCUGUUCCAGUUCACCUUUCAUUUUUAGGAAAAACAAGUUGAUGGCUGGGUCCACCAUUGUUGAUCGCAGUUGGGCAACGCUAGGCUGCUGGACUUGCUUGAGGUACUGAAUCUGAUUAGUACACUCUUGCAUCUCUUGUUCUUUAGUUGCCAGCCUCAUGACCAGAAUAUUUUCUCUUCGGGCAGAUUCUUGUUGUUGCUGUUUCAAUUUCUCUUCAGAUUCUCUCAAUCCCGUCACAUCGUUAGAAUUAAGGUCUGUGUACUUGCCCUCCAAAGCUUGCACGUAUGCUUCAUACUGUUUCCACCUUAGGAUAAGCUCAUCUCUAGGCAAAACCUUAAAAUCUGCUUCACUAAGGCGAACCUUCUUUGGGAGAGGUUCUUCAUUCGUCAUUGUGAACUCUCCCGCCGGCGGUGCGGAGGCCCGCUCUCUCGGCAGCGCGCUCGAUCGCCUGGGCCGCACCCGUCACAUCGAGGGCCGAACGCCGCCGCCCGCGCCGCCCGCCUCCUUCCGCGCCCGCCGCCGGCUCCGCCGGGCCCGCAGCUCCGCAGCCGGGGUCGCCUCCGCGUUCCCCGCACCCGCGCGUCCCCGCGCGCCGCUCCCGCCCGCUCUUUAUUUGCGGAUUCUCUGCGCUACAAAAUGGCGCCCAAGGAGGAAAUGAGCGCCCGGCCGCCCCGCCCACCGCCCGCCCCGCGCCACAGAGCGGCGGCUGCGCGCGCAACCCGCGCGGCGCGGCGGGAGCCUCCGCAGCGACCGGUACGGCAACGCCGCCUCCACCGGCGGCGCGGCCCUUCGCGUGUCCGGCCCGGCCGCUGAGGAGCUCCCCUGGGGAACUCGCCUCUCUCGCAGAAGGCGGUGGAGGGCUGGGCUCGCUGUCCCGCCGUAGCUGUUUCUUCGGUUGUCGAAACGUUGGUUUAAAAGCUGUCAGUUAAACGGGCGGAGGGGCGGAGCGCGCGGCAUCAUGGGGCGGGCGGAAGGAUACCGCGUACCGCAGGGACGCCCUGUGGUGGCGCUGCGCCUUCGCGCGCUGUCUCGGCGUUCCUCAGCCGCCGUGUCCCGUCGGGCGCUCCGCGAGCUGGGCGCUGCGCUGUGCGGUGCGAGCUCGGGGUUCUCUCCCACUGCCGGGUCGGGGAGGGAGAGUUUUCGCUGGUUGUGGUGCUCGUUAGCGUCACAGAAUCACAGAACCGCGGGGGCUGGAAGGGGGUUUCUAGAAGUCGCCAACCCCCCGCUAAAGUACGCUCCCUGCGGCUCGCCGACUGCCUGCUGAAGGCGCGGUAGAAAUCCAGCCUCGUGGCUGCGUUAAUCGGUAGCAAAAUCGUGUUAACUGGUAGCAAAACGUUGCAGGAGGGAUCCCAAAGUACAUAUUCCUUAUCUGUAUUUAAAUAAGGAAACUGAUGCUUUUGGAAGCUGAAAAAUCCUGAAGUCCAAGGCACGCAUACAGAGAUUUUAUGCGGUUACACACAAAAAAGCAAGUUCUGUGUGAAUGGUGACCCCAGCAGCAGAAGGCUUGAGGUUUUUCAAAGCUUUGUCUUAGUUCUGAACUAAAAAGCAGGGGCUGUGAUUGCUCUUUGGGAUUUCCUGCCUCGCUUCCUCCACAAAUCCUUUGCAGGUGUUUGCUGUAAAUGCUGAGGAUGAACAGAUAAAGCCGACACAGGUGUUAAAUGCUGGAACAGGCCUUAACUAUGGAGUUUAAGCAAACUGACCCAAUUUCCUCACGCACAGAUUUAAACACUACAAUGCUAAAAGUGCAUGUAAUGCAUUUUGGGGCUUUGGUUUGUGCUCCUGUUACAAACACGCUAACACCUGCACCAAGUUGUGUUCACAGUGUGGUGGCUGCAGUAGCCUUUUCCUUGUUUCUAAGUGCUGUGAUAAGUCCCAGCAGCACUGUUAGUCCUGACAUGAGCAGGCACACAAAGCUCUGUGCAAACGGCAGUGAAAAAGUAACAUUUGGACAGCAACACAGCAACGUCUACAAUGUUAAUAUUCUACAUAUGAUUUUAUAACUCUACUGUCUGUGGAGCUGAUUUAAUGUUUGUCUGCAACACUUAUGAUGCCACUGCACACCUGUGAGUUGCUGCAUUCAACACAGUGGUCAGGAAUAUAUUCACACCUGUAAGUUGCGGAGGUCUCCUCAAGACAUUACCUGAACAGCAAUCAAUCAAUUAAGCUACAAUUACGGCCAAAUGGUGACUCAGUUAAGCUCAGGUUUGGGAUGCCUAGCAGACACUGUAAUGCUUUCAUUUGAAUACAGGUGUGUAUAUAGUUAGUUAACGAAGGGUAUAAAGCUGGGUAUUGACUACACCCAUUUUUUAAGCCAUGUUAAAGUCAUUAUGGGUUUAAUAUCACAAUGUUUUUUCUCUCUGAGGGGAAGACAGUAUUUUUUAGUAAAUACUGAUUAGAUUAUGAGCUUUUCCUGACAGAAACAGAAGAGAGGAAAACACAGAUUGCUCUUAACACAGCCAAAAGCAUGUUUUGCUUAUCAGAAUCUUGACUUCCAAGGACCCAACUAAUCAUUGGAAUUUGAGGUUUAGGCGUGUUAGAAAAUGUAAAUCUAAUCUUCACUAGGAAAACAGUCUCUUCUUUGAAGUAUAUCUUAUAUGCUGGACCUAUCCAUAGACAACUAGGUGUCAGUUCUCUAAUGAGAAAACCUAGAAUGUUCUUUCUACACCUCAGAAAGGGCCUCAAGAUGCUAAAGGUACUCAGCAAGUCUGAAUGCCCCGUAUUAUCCCAGCACAAUGACAAAGUAUGUGAAGAAAGAAAAAACCUUUCUCAGAUCUUCCCAAAUCAGAAGUAGUUCUGAUUUUCAUGAAAUAGUGCUAGUUGUCAAGCUAACUUGUUUUGGUAGCUGAUCUGUUUUUUAAGGAGCAAAAAAACAUGACUGCUGUCUUUUUGCCAAUAAAAAUCUGACUUUUUGCAGAAACCAACCAAAGAACAAUUCCUACUCCCUAGCAGGAAUAAAAGUAAUUUCAAAUACAGAUCAAGCAGAGUAUAUGCCUCUUUCGUGAGCUCAGAUGAGAGCUAUGGGCCUCACAAGUAUCAAGUAUUAUGAAGUGCCAUAUAAUUAUUGUGGCAGUGUUUGACUCUUAGCUUUGAGGAUGCUUGUUUUAAUGUACGUUAUACUAAAAUAGUCAAAUGUGUCUCAUGUUGCUGAGAAAGAAUAAUUAAAAAUAAAUACAGAAAAGCAGGAUACCCUUAGCAUUGUUAGUAACAGAAGUCCCAAAUGUUGGCCAGUUAUUUGACCUCAAAUUUAAGUACCGUGAACAUCAUACACUACUGCAAAGAGCCAACUUCAUAAAAUACAGAUCUGUACCACUUGGUUGGAGAUUUUAAGAGCUAGAAAUCUUUGUUUUAAAGUCAUAAAAUGAAGGGGUUUUUUGUUUUGUUUUUAAUUAUGGAAUUAUCUCCUACCCCAAUUUUUUAAUUUAAAUUAACAGUUACUUGCCUUUUUUUUUUUUGUUUGUUUGUUUGUUUUGGCCUACAGAAGAUGUAACUUAGUUUUUGUCAAACUCACAUCCCCAACAAAGUUACUUUUGUAAUGUUCACUGUUGUGCAUGUAUCAGACUUACAGUAAAAAAAGUGUUAUUUGGUAACAAUUAUAUCUGCACAGGCUAAAUUUAGAGAACAUUUUUUAGCAGAGUAAAUUAGUGAACCCUUAAACGUUCUACAUGUUAGCCUAUUCCUAAUAAAAGUGAGCUACCCAAUGCCAAAAGGAACUGCCAACUGAGUAUUGUGAGUGCUUCACACACGGCACAAGUCCAUCUCCUUGUGUUCAUAGGAAGAUAAACUUUGCACAACAUAGCCUUACUUCUUGAAUGAUAGCAAGUAAAUUCCCUGUUCUGAGUUCACAAUUCUUACUGACUGAAUUUCACAAAGCCUCAAUCUCCAAGAAAUGUAAAAAUGUACCAGAAUUGGGCAGUAGGUUGUUAUUGGAUAUUAUGCUGCUCAUUAACUAUGCUGAAUUAAAAGCACAGCUGUUUAUUAAUGCUUAGUCAUCUUCUUGUUGUUGUUUAAAUAACUUUAAUCUAUACCAUAGAAGUUUCCUAAUUAUUUGUCUUUGUGCAAUUGCUAUGUUGGUUUUUUUAUUUAUUUACUUAUUUAUUUUUAAGCAUUCCUUUAGUGCAUUUGGAUCUCAAUCCUGGAUGCUAUGUCCAAACAGAGUUAAAUAGGAUGGUGCAAGACAAACAGAAAAAACAAAACAAAACAAAAACAGGAUCUCACUUACUGAUUUCAGGUUGUCCCAUUAUUACAGCCUGGUCUCCCACUCCUCUUGAGUUGGAAAACAGUUCUGCUGUUUGUGGUUGAGAACAAAAUGGAAGCAGAUCAGCUGUCAAGAGGUCACUAGGCCUCCAAAUUCAAACUCCUUCUAUUAGCAGCUAAGGAUCAAGUGUGGGGACUAAAGGGGCUGAUUCCAUGUUUUAUGUUCUAGUCAGUAUUUAUGCUGAUACUUGCAAAGCUUUAAACGCAGAGGAAUCCUGUAAUACUCACUUUAGCUGUAUUAGCUAGUGUAUUUGGACUUUGUACACCUGCUAAUAUUUAAUGUUAAUCUGAGCUCAUCUUACAUUGCUGAUUUUCUGUUUGCAUUGAUGACCUCAAAUUGUAAUCAGUCAAAUAUUGCAUGAAGAAUGACGUUAUUGGUAUAUGGGACAUCUGAUAAACUAGGUGUCUUAGUGCUGCCUUUGUACACCAAUAUUAGUCAUUCUCUACUAAAUGCCUAUUCUUUAUCCGUCACAUUAUGUUUUUGCCAAGCUGUAAGCUGGACACUUUAUCCAGAAGGAUACCAUGAGAAACAGUAUCAAAAGCUUUGCUGAAAUCCUACAAGAUUACAUCAGCUGGCUUCUCACGGUCAACUAACUUUAAUUAUCUUAGUCUCCAUUUAUGAUAAAGCUACCCAUCUAGUUGUAGGUAUGAAGAUGGAGAAAAGUCUAGAGGGCAAGGUAUAUGACAAGUGGUGAGGCCCCUUGGUUUGCACAGCCCAGAGCAGAGGAGCUGAGGAGAGGCCUCAUGGUGGCUGCAGCUCCUCACAGGGAGCGGAGGGGCAGCGCUGAGCUCUGCUCUCUGACAGCGACGGGCCCGAGGGAACGGCAAGUAGCUGUGUGAGGGGAGGGGCAGCUGGGGGUGAGAGACAGGGUCUGCACCAGAGGUGGUCGGGCCCUGGAACGGGCUGCCCGGGGCGGUGGUUGCAGCACCAAGCUGCCAGAGUUCAGUGAGCUUUUGGAUAACCGUCAGAGGGUUUGAAUUUUGGGUGGUUCUGUGUGGAGACAGGAGUUGGACUUGAUCUUUGUGGGUCCCUUCCAACUCAGGAUAUUCUAUGAUUCAAUGAUUCUAACUAG